RNAcentral lists this ribosomal RNA (301 nucleotides) under uncultured bacterium. Its description in RNAcentral is "partial 16S ribosomal RNA". It matches the Rfam family "Bacterial small subunit ribosomal RNA", at positions 509 to 807 of the family's 1533-position model. The record is from RNAcentral.
CAGCCGCCGCGGGAAUACAGAGGGUGCGAGCGUUAAUCGGAUUUACUGGGCGUAAAGCGUGCGUAGGCGGCUUCUUAAGUCGGAUGUGAAAUCCCUGAGCUUAACUUAGGAAUUGCAUUCGAUACUGGGAAGCUAAAGUAUGGGAGAGGAUGGUAGAAUUCCAGGUGUAGCGGUGAAAUGCGUAGAGAUCUGGAGGAAUACCGAUGGCGAAGGCAGCCAUCUGGCCUAAUACUGACGCUGAGGUACGAAAGCAUGGGGAGCAAACAGGAUUAGAUACCCCUGUAGUCCCUGUCUCUUAUAC